AGCCUGAUGCAGCACGCCGCGUGAGGGACGACGGCCUUCGGGUUGUAAACCUCUUUUAGCAGGGAAGAAGCGAAAGUGACGGUACCUGCAGAAAAAGCACCGGCUAACUACGUGCCAGCAGCCGCGGUAAUACGUAGGGUGCAAGCGUUAUCCGGAAUUAUUGGGCGUAAAGAGCUCGUAGGCGGUUUGUCGCGUCUGCUGUGAAAACUGGGGGCUCAACCCCCAGCCUGCAGUGGGUACGGGCAGACUAGAGUGCGGUAGGGGAGAUUGGAAUUCCUGGUGUAGCGGUGGAAUGCGCAGAUAUCAGGAGGAACACCGAUGGCGAAGGCAGAUCUCUGGGCCGUAACUGACGCUGAGGAGCGAAAGGGUGGGGAGCAAACAGGCUUAGAUACCCUGGUAGUCCACCCCGUAAACGUUGGGAACUAGUUGUGGGGUCCAUUCCACGGAUUCCGUGACGCAGCUAACGCAUUAAGUUCCCCGCCUGGGGAGUACGGCCGCAAGGCUAAAACUCAAAGGAAUUGACGGGGACCCGCACAAGCGGCGGAGCAUGCGGAUUAAUUCGAUGCAACGCGAAGAACCUUACCAAGGCUUGACAUAUACGAGAACGCUGCAGAAAUGUAGAACUCUUUGGAC
RNAcentral lists this ribosomal RNA (633 nucleotides) under Microbacterium sp. So2Pw_1241. RNAcentral's name for it is "bacterial SSU rRNA". It matches the Rfam family "Bacterial small subunit ribosomal RNA", at positions 380 to 1027 of the family's 1533-position model. Lineage: Bacteria; Bacillati; Actinomycetota; Actinomycetes; Micrococcales; Microbacteriaceae. The record is from RNAcentral.